UUCGAUGAUGAAUCCCUUGAUAGGGACAACUUAUGCCACUGGCAUAUGACGAAACCCUGGGCUCAGUAUUUUAGUAGAUGCUUCGAGAUUCUGAUG
The sequence is a small nucleolar RNA, 96 nucleotides long. It matches the Rfam family "A. fumigatus snoRNA Afu_335". The record is from Rfam.